GGUGGGAUGGCCGAGUGGUUUAAGGCGCUGCUCUCGAAAAGCAGUUGGGCUAUAAAGCUCUCAGAGGUUCGAAUCCUCUUCCCACCG
This 87-nucleotide transfer RNA is filed under the name Parcubacteria group bacterium CG_4_10_14_0_8_um_filter_35_7. RNAcentral describes it as "tRNA-Ser". It matches the Rfam family "tRNA". From Rfam's summary of the family: Transfer RNA (tRNA) molecules are approximately 80 nucleotides in length. The record is from RNAcentral.